Molecule: ribosomal RNA, 240 nt
Filed under: Bacillus thuringiensis
Lineage: Bacteria; Bacillati; Bacillota; Bacilli; Caryophanales; Bacillaceae
Description: partial 16S ribosomal RNA
Rfam family: Bacterial small subunit ribosomal RNA
Source: RNAcentral
UUUAUUGGAGAGUUUGAUCCUGGCUCAGGAUGAACGCUGGCGGCGUGCCUAAUACAUGCAAGUCGAGCGAAUGGAUUGAGAGCUUGCUCUCAAGAAGUUAGCGGCGGACGGGUGAGUAACACGUGGGUAACCUGCCCAUAAGACUGGGAUAACUCCGGGAAACCGGGGCUAAUACCGGAUAACAUUUUGAACUGCAUGGUUCGAAAUUGAAAGGCGGCUUCGGCUGUCACUUAUGGAUGG